RNAcentral lists this ribosomal RNA (768 nucleotides) under Escherichia coli. RNAcentral's name for it is "partial 23S ribosomal RNA". It matches the Rfam family "Bacterial large subunit ribosomal RNA", at positions 446 to 1215 of the family's 2925-position model. The record is from RNAcentral. Lineage: Bacteria; Pseudomonadati; Pseudomonadota; Gammaproteobacteria; Enterobacterales; Enterobacteriaceae.
GGGGGGACCAUCCUCCAAGGCUAAAUACUCCUGACUGACCGAUAGUGAACCAGUACCGUGAGGGAAAGGCGAAAAGAACCCCGGCGAGGGGAGUGAAAAAGAACCUGAAACCGUGUACGUACAAGCAGUGGGAGCACGCUUAGGCGUGUGACUGCGUACCUUUUGUAUAAUGGGUCAGCGACUUAUAUUCUGUAGCAAGGUUAACCGAAUAGGGGAGCCGAAGGGAAACCGAGUCUUAACUGGGCGUUAAGUUGCAGGGUAUAGACCCGAAACCCGGUGAUCUAGCCAUGGGCAGGUUGAAGGUUGGGUAACACUAACUGGAGGACCGAACCGACUAAUGUUGAAAAAUUAGCGGAUGACUUGUGGCUGGGGGUGAAAGGCCAAUCAAACCGGGAGAUAGCUGGUUCUCCCCGAAAGCUAUUUAGGUAGCGCCUCGUGAAUUCAUCUCCGGGGGUAGAGCACUGUUUCGGCAAGGGGGUCAUCCCGACUUACCAACCCGAUGCAAACUGCGAAUACCGGAGAAUGUUAUCACGGGAGACACACGGCGGGUGCUAACGUCCGUCGUGAAGAGGGAAACAACCCAGACCGCCAGCUAAGGUCCCAAAGUCAUGGUUAAGUGGGAAACGAUGUGGGAAGGCCCAGACAGCCAGGAUGUUGGCUUAGAAGCAGCCAUCAUUUAAAGAAAGCGUAAUAGCUCACUGGUCGAGUCGGCCUGCGCGGAAGAUGUAACGGGGCUAAACCAUGCACCGAAGCUGCGGCAGCGACGCU